GAUGAACGCUGGCGGCGUGCCUAAUACAUGCCAGUCGAGCGAACAGACGAGGAGCUUGCUCCUCUGACGUUAGCGGCGGACGGGUGAGUAACACGUGGAUAACCUACCUAUAAGACUGGGAUAACUUCGGGAAACCGGAGCUAAUACCGGAUAAUAUAUUGAACCGCAUGGUUCAAUAGUGAAAGACGGUUUUGCUGUCACUUAUAGAUGGAUCCGCGCCGCAUUAGCUAGUUGGUAAGGUAACGGCUUACCAAGGCAACGAUGCGUAGCCGACCUGAGAGGGUGAUCGGCCACACUGGAACUGGGACACGGUCCAGACUCCUACGGGAGGCAGCAGUAGGGAAUCUUCCGCAAUGGGCGAAAGCCUGACGGAGCAACGCCGCGUGAGGGAUGAAGGUCUUCGGAUCGUAAAACUCUGUUAUUAGGGAAGAACAAAUGUGUAAGUAACUAUGCACGUCUUGACGGUACCUAAUCAGAAAGCCACGGCUAACUACGUG
This 497-nucleotide ribosomal RNA is filed under the name uncultured bacterium. Its description in RNAcentral is "partial 16S ribosomal RNA". It matches the Rfam family "Bacterial small subunit ribosomal RNA", at positions 28 to 507 of the family's 1533-position model. The record is from RNAcentral.